Molecule: long non-coding RNA, 373 nt
Organism: Brachypodium distachyon (stiff brome)
Lineage: Eukaryota; Viridiplantae; Streptophyta; Magnoliopsida; Poales; Poaceae
Exons: 2
Source: RefSeq, a predicted model, not a curated record
CAUAGGACAUCUCCCUGACAUGGUCCCUCCAGUUCUUGGCCUGCGGGUCGAAGUGUUCGUCGUCCAUGAGCUCCAUCUUCUCCAGGGCGGCGCUCAUGGCGCUGAGCUCUUUCUCGAGGAAGGACACCUGCGUCCUCAUCCCGGUCAUUACCUUGUAGACCCACGCCAAGAUUAACCAAUAAAUGUUCGUGCAAUCAUGUAGUAUAGGGUCUGAUGAGUGGACUUUUUGCUCCGUGACGAGCGGCGUGACACUGCAAAAUAGGAACCUUUCUUUCCUUUAGACCAAAGACCAUUCAAACAAGAAGAUAUUGGAGUGUAUUUUGUACAGAGUUUUGCUUCCUCGUACAUAUGCAAUGUUUGUUUUUCCGGGUUU